This 492-nucleotide ribosomal RNA is filed under the name uncultured bacterium. RNAcentral describes it as "partial 16S ribosomal RNA". It matches the Rfam family "Bacterial small subunit ribosomal RNA", at positions 29 to 507 of the family's 1533-position model. The record is from RNAcentral.
AGUGAACGCUGGCGGUAGGCCUAACACAUGCAAGUCGAACGGCAGCACAGUAAGAGCUUGCUCUUACGGGUGGCGAGUGGCGGACGGGUGAGGAAUACAUCGGAAUCUACUUUUUCGUGGGGGAUAACGUAGGGAAACUUACGCUAAUACCGCAUACGACCUACGGGUGAAAGCAGGGGAUCUUCGGACCUUGCGCGAUUGAAUGGGCCGAUGUCGGAUUAGCUAGUUGGCGGGGUAAAGGCCCACCAAGGCGACGAUCCGUAGCUGGUCUGAGAGGAUGAUCAGCCACAUUGGAACUGAGACACGGUCCAGACUCCUACGGGAGGCAGCAGUGGGGAAUAUUGGACAAUGGGCGCAAGCCUGAUCCAGCCAUACCGCGUGGGUGAAGAAGGCCUUCGGGUUGUAAAGCCCUUUUGUUGGGAAAGAAAAGCAGCAGGUUAAUACCCCGCUGUUCUGACGGUACCCAAAGAAUAAGCACCGGCUAACUUCGUG